This 250-nucleotide ribosomal RNA is filed under the name uncultured bacterium. RNAcentral describes it as "partial 16S ribosomal RNA". It matches the Rfam family "Bacterial small subunit ribosomal RNA", at positions 524 to 773 of the family's 1533-position model. The record is from RNAcentral.
AACGUAGGACGCGAGCGUUAUCCGGAGUUACUGGGCGUAAAGGGCGGGCAGGCGGCGUGUCAAGUUGGUUGUGAAAUCUCCUGGCUAAACUGGGAGGGUGCAAUCGAAACUGACAGGCUAGAGGACAGCAGAGGGUCGUGGAAUUCCGGGUGGAGUGGUGAAAUGCGUAGAGAUCCGGAGGAACACCAGAGGCGAAAGCGGCGACCUGGGCUGUAACUGACGCUGAACCGCGAAAGCCAGGGGAGCGAAC